This 497-nucleotide ribosomal RNA is filed under the name uncultured bacterium. Its description in RNAcentral is "partial 16S ribosomal RNA". It matches the Rfam family "Bacterial small subunit ribosomal RNA", at positions 28 to 507 of the family's 1533-position model. The record is from RNAcentral.
GAUGAACGCUGGCGGCGUGUCUAAUACAUGCAAGUCGAGCGAACAGACGAGGAGCUUGCUCCUCUGAUGUUAGCGGCGGACGGGUGAGUAACACGUGGAUAACCUACCUAUAAGACUGGGAUAACUUCGGGAAACCGGAGCUAAUACCGGAUAACAUGUUGAACCGCAUGGUUCAACAGUGAAAGACGGUCUUGCUGUCACUUAUAGAUGGAUCCGCGCCGCAUUAGCUAGUUGGUAAGGUAACGGCUUACCAAGGCAACGAUGCGUAGCCGACCUGAGAGGGUGAUCGGCCACACUGGAACUGGGACACGGUCCAGACUCCUACGGGAGGCAGCAGUAGGGAAUCUUCCGCAAUGGGCGAAAGCCUGACGGAGCAACGCCGCGUGAGUGAAGAAGGUCUUCGGAUCGUAAAACUCUGUUAUUAGGGAAGAACAAAUGUGUAAGUAACUAUGCACGUCUUGACGGUACCUAAUCAGAAAGCCACGGCUAACUACGUG